RNAcentral lists this unclassified non-coding RNA (1214 nucleotides) under Hevea brasiliensis (rubber tree). The record is from RNAcentral. Lineage: Eukaryota; Viridiplantae; Streptophyta; Magnoliopsida; Malpighiales; Euphorbiaceae.
AAAAAAAAAAAAAAAAAAAAAGUACAAAACUAGUGCUCAUACAGUUGAUAACACAAACUUCCCACGUCUUUGUGAAAUAAUAAACAAAUCCAGCUACUAAAUCAAUCUCCAUGGAUGGUGUAACGCUCCCACUUCUUUGAUGGGUCAUAUAUCUCCCAUCUUGAAGCAGGGAAAAUGUGUUUGUUCUUCUCAUACCAGUGCCUCUCAACAACUUUACCUGCAUGAGACUCAUCCUUCUCUAUUGUAGCAUCAGCUAUAGUCCGCACAUCCUCAUGCACAUCAAAGUGAAAUAGUGGUCCACUUUUGCCCCUAGCCUUGUUAACAAUAAGCUCAUAGAAGCUGUGUUGAUGGGGAAUGAUGAGAUCUUCUUUCACAUAAAGUAAAUUCUCCACAGAUGUCGUUCUGAUUUCCCUAAACUCAGGUGCAAGUUGCUGCUGAACUGCCCUAAGAAACUCUCCUAUGGUAUCACCUUUGCGUACCUGGAUCACUCUCCUAUGGCCUGCUCCAUCCCAGUAGCUGUAAGUAAUUUCAAGGGGCUCAUUUCGAAUCUGUUCCUGUUCAUGAAGCCACUGUUUCCGCAAUCUUUCACGCUCAGCUUGCUCCUCUGCCUCCCGCUCACUGUCAGGCAAGAAGCUUGUUUCCACCGUGGGAUCUUUGCCAAAUUUUCCAUGCACUAAUCUGUUUGACUCUAAACCUUUGUCUUCAGCGUCCUCUUCUUCACUUCCGUUCUCAAUAUCAUCAGCAAACGAUAAUCGAGGAUUCACCUUAAUCUUUCUCUUCUUUCGCUUUUCCAACUGAAGCUCCUCCUCCUCUUGCCGUAACUUUUGUAGCUUCUCCUUUUCUUCCUCUUCAAUUUUAUUCUGAAUAUUAACCCUCUUCUCAACAUAUUGCUCUCUUGUAACCAAACCCACAGUCUCCUUCUUAAAUGCAGUCUCAAGAAUCUCUGAGGUGCUUGACCCGAAUUGGAGGAGGCCAGGUUGGCCCUUGGCGGAGGCGGACUUGGUCUUAAGCUCUUGGAUUUUGCGACGCUCAGCUUCUCGCUGCUUCUCUAACCGCCGGAUCCUCACGGCGUCUUGGGCCGUGCCCACGUACCCGUCUCCCAUGCCCGACAUCUUUUGCUUUCUUUUUCCUGUCCCCUGUUAUGCCUCCCUGGAAAAUGGGUUUUGGCCCUCGUUUGUUGCCCGAUAAAAUGAUCGACGAAUGAUGAGAAGGCU